RNAcentral lists this ribosomal RNA (629 nucleotides) under Escherichia coli. Its description in RNAcentral is "partial 23S ribosomal RNA". It matches the Rfam family "Bacterial large subunit ribosomal RNA", at positions 2259 to 2882 of the family's 2925-position model. The record is from RNAcentral. Lineage: Bacteria; Pseudomonadati; Pseudomonadota; Gammaproteobacteria; Enterobacterales; Enterobacteriaceae.
UGGUGGGUAGUUUGACUGGGGCGGUCUCCUCCUAAAGAGUAACGGAGGAGCACGAAGGUUGGCUAAUCCUGGUCGGACAUCAGGAGGUUAGUGCAAUGGCAUAAGCCAGCUUGACUGCGAGCGUGACGGCGCGAGCAGGUGCGAAAGCAGGUCAUAGUGAUCCGGUGGUUCUGAAUGGAAGGGCCAUCGCUCAACGGAUAAAAGGUACUCCGGGGAUAACAGGCUGAUACCGCCCAAGAGUUCAUAUCGACGGCGGUGUUUGGCACCUCGAUGUCGGCUCAUCACAUCCUGGGGCUGAAGUAGGUCCCAAGGGUAUGGCUGUUCGCCAUUUAAAGUGGUACGCGAGCUGGGUUUAGAACGUCGUGAGACAGUUCGGUCCCUAUCUGCCGUGGGCGCUGGAGAACUGAGGGGGGCUGCUCCUAGUACGAGAGGACCGGAGUGGACGCAUCACUGGUGUUCGGGUUGUCAUGCCAAUGGCACUGCCCGGUAGCUAAAUGCGGAAGAGAUAAGUGCUGAAAGCAUCUAAGCACGAAACUUGCCCCGAGAUGAGUUCUCCCUGACUCCUUGAGAGUCCUGAAGGAACGUUGAAGACGACGACGUUGAUAGGCCGGGUGUGUAAGCGCAGCGAU